UAAAAACACAUUGGUAAGAAUGAAGAAGACUUCACUCUUGCCUACAUAUAUACUAUCUAAUUAGAAAUUAUGUAGUGGCAUUCUAUAGGUCUUCCAGCACAUGUCAAAUUUGUAAGAUGUGUGUCUUAACUUAUAAGGAAAUUUUUUUAAAUAUGGGCUGUAAAUUAAAAUAAAUCUCCACUAAUUGAGAGCUUAUUUUAAUUUGUAAUAAUUUUAAUUAUCUAAAUCUUAAAAUAAUUUUUCCUAAGCCUUUAAAUUACGUCCAAUAAACCUAAUAAUUUCUUACCUAUGAGUCAAAUAAUUCUUUAAUUUAGAUGAUUUAUUCUAAUUUAAAACUAUUAAUUAA
Molecule: long non-coding RNA, 346 nt
Filed under: Physcomitrium patens
Lineage: Eukaryota; Viridiplantae; Streptophyta; Bryopsida; Funariales; Funariaceae
Description: long non-coding RNA (PPAT_LNC012242)
Source: RNAcentral